RNAcentral lists this ribosomal RNA (686 nucleotides) under Veillonella dispar. Its description in RNAcentral is "bacterial SSU rRNA". It matches the Rfam family "Bacterial small subunit ribosomal RNA", at positions 371 to 1048 of the family's 1533-position model. The record is from RNAcentral. Lineage: Bacteria; Bacillati; Bacillota; Negativicutes; Veillonellales; Veillonellaceae.
AUGGACGAAAGUCUGACGGAGCAACGCCGCGUGAGUGAUGACGGCCUUCGGGUUGUAAAGCUCUGUUAAUCGGGACGAAAGGCCUUCUUGCGAAUAGUUAGAAGGAUUGACGGUACCGGAAUAGAAAGCCACGGCUAACUACGUGCCAGCAGCCGCGGUAAUACGUAGGUGGCAAGCGUUGUCCGGAAUUAUUGGGCGUAAAGCGCGCGCAGGCGGAUUGGUCAGUCUGUCUUAAAAGUUCGGGGCUUAACCCCGUGAUGGGAUGGAAACUGCCAAUCUAGAGUAUCGGAGAGGAAAGUGGAAUUCCUAGUGUAGCGGUGAAAUGCGUAGAUAUUAGGAAGAACACCAGUGGCGAAGGCGACUUUCUGGACGAAAACUGACGCUGAGGCGCGAAAGCCAGGGGAGCGAACGGGAUUAGAUACCCCGGUAGUCCUGGCCGUAAACGAUGGGUACUAGGUGUAGAAGGUAUCGACCCCUUCUGUGCCGGAGUUAACGCAAUAAGUACCCCGCCUGGGGAGUACGACCGCAAGGUUGAAACUCAAAGGAAUUGACGGGGGCCCGCACAAGCGGUGGAGUAUGUGGUUUAAUUCGACGCAACGCGAAGAGCCUUACCAGGUCUUGACAUUGAUGGACAGAACUAGAGAUAGUUCCUCUGCUUCGGAAGCCAGAAAACAGGUGGUGCACGG